Long non-coding RNA from Lingula anatina, 610 nucleotides. The record is from RefSeq and is a predicted model, not a curated record. NCBI's taxonomy places the organism in Eukaryota, Metazoa, Brachiopoda, Lingulata, Lingulida, Lingulidae.
GGAAAGGCUAAGACUUGUGGCUUGUGUUGGAGAUAGGACGGAAUGUUGGGCUCAUCGGACGCCUGAAGGAUCAGGGGAAUGGCAGUACCCCAGCGAGUACUGGUAUAGCUCGGUGGAAUAAUUAGGCUACCAAGUGUUUCCAGUGGAGUUACCGGUGAUAUGGUAUCUUAAGUUACAAAGGACAGAAAAACAAAAUCCCAACUUGCGACUUGGUGGAAGCAGUUUUAAGAUGCAGCAAUGGAAGUUAAGCAUGUGACAAUGCGUUGACAUUGUAAAUGUUAACACAAGGAUGGGGACAGACAGCGACGGGAAGCAAGCCGAGUGACAAUUAUGACAACAACAAAUGCAGACUGCCUCACUAAAAACAUGUACUAUUUGCAGCAGCAAUUUCACUAACACUGAAGGGUGACAAAUGCAAAGUCGAAUUCAUCGUAGCCGUGUGACAAUUAGAGGAAGCAAUGUUAGUUAUAUAUAAUUAACAACUAAUAGGAUGGAAUGUAUAGUUGUUAGUAUAAUGAACAACUAGUGCCAAUGUAAAUACAGAUACAUAGGGGGCACUGAAACAUGCAGCAACACAGUGGGGGUUUCCAUGGCAACAUCAAGUCAACAU